RNAcentral lists this ribosomal RNA (507 nucleotides) under uncultured euryarchaeote. Its description in RNAcentral is "bacterial SSU rRNA". It matches the Rfam family "Archaeal small subunit ribosomal RNA", at positions 80 to 587 of the family's 1478-position model. Lineage: Archaea; Methanobacteriati; Methanobacteriota. The record is from RNAcentral.
CGAUUACGGCUCAGUAACACGUGGAUAACCUACCCUUAGGACUGGGAUAACCCUGGGAAACUGGGGAUAAUACUGGAUAGGCAAUUAUUCCUGUAAUGGUUUUUUGUUUAAAUGUUUUUUCGCCUAAGGAUGGGUCUGCGGCCGAUUAGGUAGUUGGUUAGGUAAUGGCUUACCAAGCCUUUGAUCGGUACGGGUUGUGAGAGCAAGAGCCCGGAGAUGGAACCUGAGACAAGGUUCCAGGCCCUACGGGGUGCAGCAGGCGCGAAACCUCCGCAAUGUGAGAAAUCGCGACGGGGGGAUCCCAAGUGCCAUUCUUAACGGGAUGGCUUUUCAUUAGUGUAAAGAGCUUUUGGAAUAAGAGCUGGGCAAGGCCGGUGCCAGCCGCCGCGGUAACACCGGCAGCUCUAGUGGUAGCAGUUUUUAUUGGGCCUAAAGCGUCCGUAGCCGGUUUAAUAAGUCUCUGGUGAAAUCCUGCAGCUUAACUGUGGGAAUUGCUGGAGAUACUAU